GAGUUUGAUCAUGGCUCAGGAUGAACGCUGGCGGCGUGCUUAACACAUGCAAGUCGAACGAACCUUCGGGUUAGUGGCGGACGGGUGAGUAACGCGUGGGAAUCUGCCCUCAGGAGGGGGAUAACGGUUGGAAACGACCGCUAAUACCCCAUAUGCCGAGAGGUGAAAUGAAUUUCGCCUGAGGAUGAGCCCGCGUCUGAUUAGCUUGUUGGUGAGGUAAUGGCUCACCAAGGCUUCGAUCAGUAGCUGGUCUGAGAGGAUGAUCAGCCACACUGGGACUGAGACACGGCCCAGACUCCUACGGGAGGCAGCAGUGGGGAAUUUUCCGCAAUGGGCGAAAGCCUGACGGAGCAACGCCGCGUGAGGGAUGAAGGCCUCUGGGCUGUAAACCUCUUUUCUCAAGGAAGAAGAUAUGACGGUACUUGAGGAAUAAGCCACGGCUAAUUCCGUGCCAGCAGCCGCGGUAAUACGGGAGUGGCAAGCGUUAUCCGGAAUUAUUGGGCGUAAAGCGCCCGCAGGCGGCCUUUCAAGUCUGCUGUUAAAACGUGGAGCUCAACUCCAUCAUGGCAGUGGAAACUGAUUGGCUUGAGUAUGGUAGGGGCAGAGGGAAUUCCCGGUGUAGCGGUGAAAUGCGUAGAUAUCGGGAAGAACACCAGUGGCGAAGGCGCUCUGCUGGGCCAUUACUGACGCUCAUGGACGAAAGCCAGGGGAGCGAAAGGGAUUAGAUACCCCUGUAGUCCUGGCCGUAAACGAUGAACACUAGGUGUCGGGGGAAUCGACCCCUUCGGUGUCGUAGCUAACGCGUUAAGUGUUCCGCCUGGGGAGUACGCACGCAAGUGUGAAACUCAAAGGAAUUGACGGGGGCCCGCACAAGCGGUGGAGUAUGUGGUUUAAUUCGAUGCAACGCGAAGAACCUUACCAGGAUUUGACAUCCUGCGAACCUUUAAGAAAUUAGAGGGUGCCUUCGGGAGCGCAGUGACAGGUGGUGCAUGGCUGUCGUCAGCUCGUGUCGUGAGAUGUUGGGUUAAGUCCCGCAACGAGCGCAACCCACGUUUUUAGUUGCCAGCAUUUAGUUGGGCACUCUAGAAAGACCGCCGGUGAUAAACCGGAGGAAGGUGUGAAUGACGUCAAGUCAUCAUGCCCCUUACAUCCUGGGCUACACACGUACUACAAUGCUACGGACAAAGGGCAGCAAACUCGCGAGAGCUAGCAAAUCCCAUAAACCGUGGCUCAGUUCAGAUCGUAGGCUGCAACUCGCCUACGUGAAGUAGGAAUCGCUAGUAAUCGCAGGUCAGCAUACUGCGGUGAAUACGUUCCCGGGCCUUGUACACACCGCCCGUCACACCAUGGAAGUUGGCCAUGCCCGAAGUCGUUACUUUAACCCUUGUGGAGAAGGACGCCGAAGGUGGGGCUGAUGACUGGGGUGAAGUCGUAACAAGGUAACC
RNAcentral lists this ribosomal RNA (1445 nucleotides) under uncultured marine cyanobacterium. RNAcentral's name for it is "bacterial SSU rRNA". It matches the Rfam family "Bacterial small subunit ribosomal RNA". The record is from RNAcentral. Lineage: Bacteria; Bacillati; Cyanobacteriota.